ACACGUACUCAACCUGCCCUGGAGACAUGGACAACCCCGGGAAACUGGGAUUAAUCCGUGAUAGGCCAUUUCAUCUGGAAGGAGAGGUGGCCCAAAGGGACGCGCGGGCUUCUUCUGCGCGCUCGCUCCAGGAUGGGACUGCGGCCGAUCAGGCUGUUGGCGGUGUAAUGGACCACCAAACCUGUAACCGGUACGGGCUUUGAGAGAAGGAGCCCGGAGAUGGACACUGAGAAAAGGGUCCAGGUCCUACGGGGCGCAGCAGGCGCGGAACCUUCGCAAUGCGAGAGGGGGGGAGGAGGAUAGUCCGAGUGGCUUCCGCUGAGGAGGUCUUUUGCUAUCUGUAAAAAGGCUGGAGAAUAAGGGGAGGGCAAGCCUGGUGUCAGCCGCCGCGGUAAUACCAGCUCCUCGAGUGGUCAGGGCGAUUAUUGGGCCUAAAGCAUCCGUAGCCGAGUCGGUAGGUCCUCUGCUAAAUCCAAUCGCCUAACGAUUGGCCCGCAUAGGAUACCGUCCGACUAAGAAGCGGGAGAGGUGGACGGUACUCCGCGGGUAGGGGUAAACUCCUCUUGAUCCGCGGAAGA
This 578-nucleotide ribosomal RNA is filed under the name uncultured archaeon. RNAcentral's name for it is "bacterial SSU rRNA". It matches the Rfam family "Archaeal small subunit ribosomal RNA", at positions 96 to 656 of the family's 1478-position model. The record is from RNAcentral.